UACAUUGGCCAGAAAACACUACAUUUUUAUCAUCAAUUAGAAGAAAUGGCCAUGAAAAGAGUCAAAACAUUUAUUUUUAGUAUUCCCUCCAAAAGCAAACCCUAUGUUUGCCCAUUUCCCUCUCUUUCCGGGACUCGAACUUCACUUGCCAGUCGCCUGCAUCAAAACUUCCAACCCCUUCCUAAACAUAUGAGUUUCUCAACCAGCAACAAGAAGACAUUGGACAAAGAAAAUCACGUUUCUCUCGAUAUUCUAAGUAGCUCAAUUCAUGCCUAUCAAUACCACAAACCUUUUUCAUUAAAUCCCCAAUUGACUCCCUCAGUCGUCCAGUUAUUCAUCGAUUAUUUUUCCGAUAAAGUUCAUAAAUCUAACUUUAUCAAGGCUAUGGUGUGCUACUUCUGGUUUGGAAUGCGGCUUUCAAGCGUCAUCAUUAAUUUAUUCGCCGACGUCUUCUUUACUUCUGCGUGAAUCGAUAAGUAAGGGGACAAUACGGUGCGUUUAUGUUGAAAAAAUGGAACUUGAUUUGACCCAGAUGCAUACUAAGUUUAGUACGAAGAAAACAGGAUGAUGCUCUAUCUUAUGGACAGUUGCAAUGCUCCAAGCACUAUGACAUGCUACUCGAUAUCUUGUGUUAAAAAAGCGAAGGGGUGGCCUCUUUGGUCUGGCAAAGAAGGAAUAGCAACUGGGAGCAACGACCUUUAACUCAGUAUCAGCUAGAAUAUACUGUUCUUGAUGCUUCUGUUCUUGUUCACAUAUAUGGCUACACACAAACUGCUGGUGACCGAGAUGGGCAUUCCAAAAUUGAGCGGAAGUCUCCAUUGUACGAAUAGAGUACCUCUUGCUUUGUCUCUUGUGUUGUCUUUAUUUCAUCAGGCAUAGUGUUCUUUUGUUGUGUAUUAAUUCUAUCAACAAAUUUUUAUAUGCUCAAUUUUAACUUAUUUGUACAUUUUAAUGUGGCUAUUCUACAUUUCAUAAUCCUAUCUAUAUUCUUGCUAUGUAAGACUGAAAUCCGAUGGUUUUUUUAUUCAGAGACUUUCAUAUUGUCCAACUUGGGCGUGUCUCGAUAUGGACAGGUUUGAUUUUAUUCUUCCUCUAGGCCAGGUUAGAAAUUAGAUACUGAUAUUUCAUCUAUUUCUUAUUACAAGAUAUUCAGUUCAUAGAAAGUAGCAAGUAUUUUAAAGGUGGGAUCAUUAUUCAGGGGUCUAUUAUACCAUAUGAAGUAGCAACCAUUUCUCGUAUGGUUUAAUUCCUGUCCAUUUCUCUCGAUUCAUGUUUCUAUUUGUUAUCUAAUUAAAAUUCUUAUUGUCUGAAAACUUUUUUUUUUUUUCGAAACUGGUACUAUUUUGUCUGAAAACUUAUACUCUUGUCAUCACAGAUUGAGUUUAUUUUUCAAUAAUGACAUGCAUUUUUAUUCUUAGAUACAUAUCCUCUUUGUUGUUGUAUUAUACUAGAAUUUGCAUUUUCUUCCUAGUGAUUAAUACCUCAAUGUAAUGUGGCAUAAUGGUUUUGUAGAUUUCUCUGCAACUAUAAAAACCCAACUGGUUUAGAAUCGUGGAAGGCGAAGAGAUAUAGGUGACAUUGCUACGAGAAGGCAAGCAAAAGAUGUUCAAUGGGUUGAAGACUUGAUAAUGGUCCACAGCUGGAGAAUGUCAAUAAGCUUACUAUAGUCUUGAGUUUAGAUAUUUAAUGACACUAGUUACUAGACUCAAAAUAACACUACCUGAGAGAUUCAAAUGGUGUACUUUUUUUUUAUUUUUUUUUUAAUGUUGUUCACUCUGAAAUUAUGAGAAGUUAUCUUUGUUAUUAAUUUAAUGUAAUAUAUUAUGAUUGGAUGAAUUUAGCAUAUUUUGUUAUGAAUAUUUUAUUUCGUUA
This is a long non-coding RNA of Lycium barbarum (goji berry), 1872 nucleotides long. RefSeq lists it as uncharacterized. The record is from RefSeq and is a predicted model, not a curated record. The transcript is spliced from 4 exons. NCBI's taxonomy places the organism in Eukaryota, Viridiplantae, Streptophyta, Magnoliopsida, Solanales, Solanaceae.